GCUCUCUUCAGCAGCACAUACACUAAAAGUGGAACAGCACAGAGAUUAGCAUGGCUCCUGUACAAGGGUAACUCACAUUGGUGAAGUCCUCCAUUUUUUA
Molecule: small nuclear RNA, 100 nt
Filed under: Erinaceus europaeus (western European hedgehog)
Lineage: Eukaryota; Metazoa; Chordata; Mammalia; Eulipotyphla; Erinaceidae
Source: RNAcentral